RNAcentral lists this non-coding RNA (26 nucleotides) under Mus musculus (house mouse). The record is from RNAcentral. Lineage: Eukaryota; Metazoa; Chordata; Mammalia; Rodentia; Muridae.
UCCCAGGAUGCCUUUGCCCUUUUGCG